CUCUCCGAAUACUAUGUUGCUACUAUCGCUCUGGUGUUCCACUUCCACGUGGUACUCCAGUUUCGAUCCUGGUUUUUAGUUACUCGCUGAGUCUUAUCAUGAUUACAGGUGUUGCAUGGCUGUCUCUAGUUCGUGUUGUGAAAUGUUAGGUUAAUUCCGAAAACGAACGCAAUCCUUCUCUUUAAUUAGUUCUCAAAAAAAAAGAUCAUCUUAAAGAUAUGUCUGCCGAGAUGGUAGAAGAAUUAGGAUUAAGACAAGUCCUCAUGACCCUUAUGAAGUGGGCUACAGACGUGCCACAAAAGUUUUUACAAUGGGAUGCAAAGAUUCAUUAACUGAGCUAAUCCCUAAAAGUUACUCCAG
This 360-nucleotide ribosomal RNA is filed under the name Pneumocystis carinii. Its description in RNAcentral is "SSU rRNA". It matches the Rfam family "Bacterial small subunit ribosomal RNA", at positions 978 to 1291 of the family's 1533-position model. Lineage: Eukaryota; Fungi; Ascomycota; Pneumocystomycetes; Pneumocystales; Pneumocystaceae. The record is from RNAcentral.